AUUGAACGCUGGCGGCAGGCCUAACACAUGCAAGUCGAACGGUAACAGGAAGAAGCUUGCUUCUUUGCUUACGAGUGGCGGACGUGUGAGUAAUGUCUGGGAAACUGCCUGAUGGAGGGGGAUAACUACUGGAAACGGUAGCUAAUACCGCAUAACGUCGCAAGACCAAAGAGGGGGACCUUCGGGCCUCUUUCCAUCGGAUUUGCCCAGAUGGGAUUAGCUAGUAGGUGGGGUAACGGCUCACCGAGGCGACGAUCCCUAGCUGGUCUGAGAGGAUGACCAGCCACACUGGAACUGAGACACGGUCCAGACUCCUACGGGAGGCAGCAGUGGGGAAUAUUGCACAAUGGGCGCAAGCCUGAUGCAGCAAUGCCGCGUGUAUGAAGAAGGUCUUCGGGUUGUAAAGUACUUUCAGCGGGGAAGAAGGGAGUAAAGUGAAUACCUUUGCUCAUUGACGUUACCCGAAGAAGAAGCACCGGCUAACUCCGUG
Molecule: ribosomal RNA, 490 nt
Filed under: uncultured bacterium
Lineage: Bacteria
Description: partial 16S ribosomal RNA
Rfam family: Bacterial small subunit ribosomal RNA
Source: RNAcentral